Molecule: long non-coding RNA, 883 nt
Organism: Perognathus longimembris pacificus (Pacific pocket mouse)
Lineage: Eukaryota; Metazoa; Chordata; Mammalia; Rodentia; Heteromyidae
Exons: 3
Source: RefSeq, a predicted model, not a curated record
CCUCCUAGUCUCUCUGCCGAGCUCAGACCACCGGCCUUUCAGUCCUGCGCAUCUGCCGGGCCGGCCCUCCAGGACCCCAACCCGGGCGGACCUUGCGCCCCUGGAGUUGAUCACUAGCCUGCUGAAGAUUCAGCGGUCUGCGUUCCGACUGCAGGUUGAAAACUACAAGGCACAGAAACUUGAUGCUGGGAUUCCCUGGAUUCCAACAGGAUUGCAAUAGGAAAGUGCAGCUAAUGAGGUGGUAUAUUAGAUGUAGUGACUAGGAGUCUGCAACACUGCUCAGGACAGCGCUGGUGGUGGCAGGGACUCGGGGCAGUUGCUCCAAGUACCCCUUUUAUUUAACUCAGAAUUCUUGAGGUAGGUGCCAUUAGUCUCAUUACAGAAGGUGCAGUGGUUUGAAGACAUGUGUGCAACUUGGUUGCUAUGGGAUUAAUGGGAUCCCUUAAGAUCGGUAUCCUGGUAAAAUUGCAAAAACUAAACAGUCUGCUUUGGAUUGGCAAAAGCUGACCAGAAGAGCUUAAGAAUCUAAGCUCUUUGUAGUUCUUAAUUGCAUUGAACCCAAUUUCCCUAACUUUGGUGUAAAGGAGCCAAAUUUGGGGUGUUGGUGCUCAUCUGCCAGAAAAACUCAAUGGCCUGGCUCUGAGUAGAGCCCUUGGCAAGGAAGAGACCUGAGUUAAUGUAUGUGCAGGUAGUGAAAUGAGGUGUGAAGGGGAAUUAAAGAGGUAAGAUGCCUUGGAUGGGUAUAAGGAGCCUCAUAGGGGUGUCAGCCUGGAAAUACAGUUCACACAUGGAAGAUAAUUCCUGCCUUGUACAACCAGUCUGCAUAACCAGCAAUAACUUCUCAUUUUCCAAAAUCUUUAAAUAAACUUAUGUUGAUUUUUGA